RNAcentral lists this long non-coding RNA (865 nucleotides) under Vigna radiata. RNAcentral describes it as "long non-coding RNA (VRAD_LNC001944)". The record is from RNAcentral. Lineage: Eukaryota; Viridiplantae; Streptophyta; Magnoliopsida; Fabales; Fabaceae.
UGAGACUUGAAAAGCAGAAAAACAAUCAAUUUUAGUUUUUGGUAAUUUUAUAAAGCAUGAACUAUGAACGUGUAGUAUAAUAUCAACAAAAAACAACAAACAAGUUCAAUCAAACAACAACAAACAAUUUCAACGAAAUAACAACAACAACAAACAAGUUCAACAAAUUAGUUCUUCAAAGGAAAACGAAAAUGAAAACUAACCUUCAAUGGGUUCGUCAGAAUAAAGUAUUUCCCCCAGUGAGAGAGAAAACAAAAUGUGUCUAUGAAGGACAAGAACACGAAAAUAAUUGGUCAAAACAAACGAAAAUCAUACAUAAAGUAGUUACUUAACAUGCAUUUGUAUCAAAUGAAAGAAAGAUUACAUGUGAUGGUCGUCAUACUUCAAGAAAAGUUUGAGAAUAGAAUAAGGUUUCGCGUGCUAAGAUAAAGUGAAUGAAUUUUCAAUCUCCCGCUCAAAUUAAAAAGGGAAACUUUUGGUUGACAAAUAAUACGUUGAAGCCCCUACAGAUUAGAUGUAUUAUUGGUGGUUUAAAAGAAAAAAAAUUAAAAAGGGGUAACUCUUUGGCUUCUGACUGAAAAAUGAUACGUCGAAGCCCUACAGAAUUCAACGUAUAAUAUAUGGUUAAAAAGAAAAAGAAAAAAAAAUUAAAAAGAGGUUACAUUUUGGCUUCUGGCUGACAAAUAAUACGUCGAAGCCCCUACAAAACUUGACGUACUAUUGGUGGUUUAAAAGAAAGAAGAAAGAGAAUGAAGCGUUGAUUUAAAUAAUUACCAUAAUAGAACGUUGAAUUCCAUACAAUUCGACGUUCUACAAUUGCAUUUAUUUACAAAAAUGUCACAAGUAAUUUUUAAAAUUGGUUAUU